AAGUUGGAUGAUAAUAAUAUAUAU
Molecule: microRNA, 24 nt
Filed under: Solanum tuberosum (potato)
Lineage: Eukaryota; Viridiplantae; Streptophyta; Magnoliopsida; Solanales; Solanaceae
Description: stu-miR7982b
Source: miRBase by way of RNAcentral